Molecule: ribosomal RNA, 497 nt
Filed under: uncultured bacterium
Lineage: Bacteria
Description: partial 16S ribosomal RNA
Rfam family: Bacterial small subunit ribosomal RNA
Source: RNAcentral
GAUGAACGCUGGCGGCGUGCCUAAUACAUGCAAGUCGAGCGAACGGACGAGAAGCUUGCUUUUCUGAUGUUAGCGGCGGACGGGUGAGUAACACGUGGAUAACCUACCUAUAAGACUGGGAUAACUUCGGGAAACCGGAGCUAAUACCGGAUAAUAUUUUGAACCGCAUGGUUCAAAAGUGAAAGACGGUCUUGCUGUCACUUAUAGAUGGAUCCGCGCUGCAUUAGCUAGUUGGUAAGGUAACGGCUUACCAAGGAAACGAUGCAUAGCCGACCUGAGAGGGUGAUCGGCCCCACUGGAACUGAGACGCGGUCCUGGCUCCUACGGGAGGCAGCAGUAGGGAAUCUUCCGCAAUGGGCGAAAGCCUGACGGAGCAACGCCGCGUGAGUGAUGAAGGUCUUCGGAUCGUAAAACUCUGUUAUUAGUGAAGAACAUAUGUGUAAGUAACUGUGCACAGCUUGACGGUACCUAAUCAGAAAGCCACGGCUAACUACGUG